This 510-nucleotide ribosomal RNA is filed under the name uncultured bacterium. Its description in RNAcentral is "partial 16S ribosomal RNA". It matches the Rfam family "Bacterial small subunit ribosomal RNA", at positions 28 to 507 of the family's 1533-position model. The record is from RNAcentral.
GACGAACGCUGGCGGCGUGCUUAACACAUGCAAGUCGAACGAAGAGCGAUGGACGCUUGCUUCUAUCAAUCUUAGUGGCGAACGGGUGAGUAACGCGUAAUCAACCUGCCCUUCAGAGGGGGACAACAGUUGGAAACGACUGCUAAUACCGCAUACGACCUAAACUCGGCAUCGAGGAUAGAUGAAAGGUGGCCUCUACAUGUAAGCUAUCACUCAAGGUGGGGAUUGCGUCUGAUUAGCUAGUUGGAGGGGUAACGGCCCACCAAGGCGAUGAGCAGUAGCCGGUCUGAAAGGAUGAGCGGCCACACUGGGACGGAGACACGGCCCAGACUCCUACGGGAGGCAGCAGUGGGGAAUCUUCCGCAAAGGACGAAAGUCUGACGGAGCAACGCCGCGUGAGUGAUGGCGGCCGUCAGGUUGUAAAGCUCUGUUAAUCGGGGCGAAAGGCCUUCUUGCGAAUAGUGGGAAGGAUUGACGGUACCGGAAUAGAAAGCCACGGCUAACUACGUG